AACGCCGUCAUAACGGUGAUAACGUAGACUGUCUAGAUUUUGUCGACAACGUCGGAGGUGUAUUUUGGCGCCUCUUCUUGUGACUGGCAUAGUUUCGAUGAUAACAUCAACUGUUUGUGGUCUUGUGGUCAUGUCGUCUGCAUCGGAGGAGUAUUGGAGUCUUUUCCUGUGAUUGCCGUCGUAACAACAGGACAUUUCUCCAAGCAAAAACAAGAACCUGAAUAUGAGGGCAGAAUCAUCAUACAGCCAGCUGUCCGUUUUACAGAAAUGCAGAAAAAUCUGACAAAAUUAGAUUACUGUUACUGCAUAGCAACAAAUAUAGAUUUUUAAUCACGGUAUUAUAAG
Molecule: long non-coding RNA, 345 nt
Organism: Onychostoma macrolepis
Lineage: Eukaryota; Metazoa; Chordata; Actinopteri; Cypriniformes; Cyprinidae
Exons: 4
Source: RefSeq, a predicted model, not a curated record